This 936-nucleotide long non-coding RNA is filed under the name Equus caballus (horse). RNAcentral describes it as "lncRNA (ENSECAG00000056094.1)". Lineage: Eukaryota; Metazoa; Chordata; Mammalia; Perissodactyla; Equidae. The record is from RNAcentral.
CAGAUGUUUACAACGUCUGGCAAUCAGUAAAAGACUGAUUAUCGUCGGAUGUGGGUGGGCUGGACGUUAGCAAUGAGUUUAUUAGUGCAUAUUUUCAUGUUACGAUGACUUCUGCUUCCCGGUGCAGUCUGUCUGCAGGAACACAGAUACGGAGGACCCCUCAACUUCUGUGUGGCUGCAGCAUGAAGGGCUGGUGGGGGGGCAGGCAAGAGAGCAGGCUGAGUUCAGAAUGAAGGGCGGAUGUGUCGGGCCAAGGCAUUUGGAUUCAAUCCUGGCUAUAGAUGCUUCUUCACGUGCAGAGGCUGUGCUGCCUGCUGCUGCUCCUGGCACCGGCUGACAUUCCAUCGCUCGUUUCUAGCUGUAAGCACAGAGCCAAGAAACUAUCUCCUCAUGCGUACUUUCACUACUGACUCUUCGGCGUCUUAAUUCAUUAACAAUCAUGCCUUAACGCACCCUUUCUGCAGCAGGACACACUACGUGCCAGGCACCACGCUGUGUUCAAGACACAAAGCCACGUGGAAGAGGCCCCAGCCGCCAAGCCACUUACGGUCUGGGAGACAGAGACAGACACGUGAACCAGGAAAAUCAGUAAAGGGGGAGAGGCACACACGUCAAUACAGGGAACACUGGCAGGGACCCAACCGAACAUUUCAGUCCGAGAGAAGGACAGAGAGCUCAGUCCUCUGUCCCCCACAGGCGUCCAGGCUGCAGGGAUCCACAAGGUGCUCAGCCGGGGCCUUCCUUAAAACCACCUUCAGCAUCCAGAAAUGUGCCGGGAUACUUAAUUCCAGAGAAUGCGUCCACCAGCGUGAUCCCCCAGGCGGCCGAGUAUCACUGUAAAUCCACAGGGCUCCAAAAAUCCUUGAACGAAGCUGCAUGCAGCUGACGGGCGCAGCCAGCAUGACAGGUAUCUUUUUAAUUUCUUUCUGGUCAAAA